Molecule: ribosomal RNA, 477 nt
Filed under: uncultured bacterium
Lineage: Bacteria
Description: bacterial SSU rRNA
Rfam family: Bacterial small subunit ribosomal RNA
Source: RNAcentral
ACGACGCUGGCGGCGUGCCUAACACAUGCAAGUCAACUUGACUGAAGGAGCAAUCUGACAGUAGAGUGGCGCAAGGGUGCGUAACGCGUAAGUAACUUGCCCAAGGUAAGGAAUAACGUCGAGAAAUCGGCGCUAAUACCUCAUAAUGCAGCGGAUCCGCAUGGAUAUGUUGUUAAAGGUUUACCGCCUUGGGAUAGGCUUGCGUCUGAUUAGCUAGCUGGUGUGGUAACGGCACACCAAGGCUACGAUCAGUAACUGGUCUGAGAGGAUGAUCAGUCACACUGGAACUGAGACACGGUCCAGACUCCUACGGGAGGCAGCAGUGAGGAAUAUUGGGCAAUGCUCGAAAGAGUGACCCAGCAACGCCGCGUGGAGGAUGAAGGUAUUCUAUAUCGUAAACUCCUGUGAGAGCAGACGAAAGACAGAUUAUUAAUCUGGAUGACUGUAUGCUCAGAGGAAGCCCCGGCUAACUACGUG